This 510-nucleotide ribosomal RNA is filed under the name uncultured bacterium. RNAcentral's name for it is "partial 16S ribosomal RNA". It matches the Rfam family "Bacterial small subunit ribosomal RNA", at positions 28 to 507 of the family's 1533-position model. The record is from RNAcentral.
GACGAACGCUGGCGGCGUGCUUAACACAUGCAAGUCGAACGAAGAGCGAUGGAAGCUUGCUUCUAUCAAUCUUAGUGGCGCACGGGUGAGUAACGCGUAAUCAACCUGCCCUUCAGAGGGGGACAACAGUUGGAAACGACUGCUAAUACCGCAUACGAUCUAAUCUCGGCAUCGAGGAUAGAUGAAAGGUGGCCUCUACAUGUAAGCUAUCACUGAAGGUGGGGAUUGCGUCUGAUUAGCUAGUUGGAGGGGUAAAGGCCCACCAAGGCGAUGAUCAGUAGCCGGUCUGAGAGGAUGAACGGCCACAUUGGGACUGAGACACGGCCCAGACUCCUACGGGAGGGAGCAGUGGGGAAUCUUCCGCAAUGGACGAAAGUCUGACGGAGCAACGCCGCGUGAGUGAUGACGGCCUUCGGGUUGUAAAGCUCUGUUAAUCGGGACGAAAGGCCUUCUUGCGAAUAGUGAGAAGGAUUGACGGUACCGGAAUAGAAAGCCACGGCUAACUACGUG